This 482-nucleotide ribosomal RNA is filed under the name uncultured bacterium. RNAcentral's name for it is "partial 16S ribosomal RNA". It matches the Rfam family "Bacterial small subunit ribosomal RNA", at positions 28 to 523 of the family's 1533-position model. The record is from RNAcentral.
GAUGAACGCUGGCGGCGUGCUUAACACAUGCAAGUCGAACGGUGAAGCAGAGCUUGCUCUGUGGAUCAGUGGCGAACGGGUGAGUAACACGUGAGCAAUCUGCCCUUAACUCUGGGAUAAGCGCUGGAAACGGCGUCUAAUACCGGAUACGAGCUGCGACCGCAUGGUCAGUAGCUGGAAAGAAUUUCGGUCAGGGAUGAGCUCGCGGCCUAUCAGCUUGUUGGUGAGGUAAUGGCUCACCAAGGCGUCGACGGGUAGCCGGCCUGAGAGGGUGACCGGCCACACUGGGACUGAGACACGGCCCAGACUCCUACGGGAGGCAGCAGUGGGGAAUAUUGCACAAUGGGCGAAAGCCUGAUGCAGCAACGCCGCGUGAGGGAUGACGGCCUUCGGGUUGUAAACCUCUUUUAGCGGGGAAGGAGCGAAAGUGACGGUACCUGCAGAAAAAGCGCCGGCUAACUACGUGCCAGCCGCCGCCGUAA